GAUGAACGCUGGCGGCGUGCCUAAUACAUGCAAGUCGAACGAAACUUCUUUAUCACCGAGUGCUUGCACUCACCGAUAAAGAGUUGAGUGGCGAACGGGUGAGUAACACGUGGGCAACCUGCCCAAAAGAGGGGGAUAACACUUGGAAACAGGUGCUAAUACCGCAUAACCAUAGUUACCGCAUGGUAACUAUGUAAAGGGUGGCUAUACUACCGCUUUUGGAUGGGCCCGCGGCGCAUUAGCUAGUUGGUAGGGUAAAGGCUUACCAAGGCAAUGAUGCGUAGCCGAAUUGAGAGGUUGAUCGGCCACAUUGGGACUGAGACACGGCCCAAACUCCUACGGGAGGCAGCAGUAGGGAAUCUUCCACAAUGGGCGAAAGCCUGAUGGAGCAACGCCGCGUGGGUGAAGAAGGUCUUCGGAUCGUAAAACCCUGUUGUUAGAGAAGAAAGUGCGUGAGAGUAACUGUUCACGUUUCGACGGUAUCUAACCGGAAAGCCACGGCUAACUACGUG
This 512-nucleotide ribosomal RNA is filed under the name uncultured bacterium. Its description in RNAcentral is "partial 16S ribosomal RNA". It matches the Rfam family "Bacterial small subunit ribosomal RNA", at positions 28 to 507 of the family's 1533-position model. The record is from RNAcentral.